RNAcentral lists this long non-coding RNA (400 nucleotides) under Parus major (Great Tit). RNAcentral's name for it is "lncRNA (ENSPMJG00000002052.1)". The stretch from base 109 to 376 matches the Rfam family "SOX2 overlapping transcript exon 3". From Rfam's summary of the family: SOX2 overlapping transcript (SOX2OT) is a long non-coding RNA, containing at least 5 exons. The SOX2 gene, an important regulator of neurogenesis, lies within one of the introns of SOX2OT. Lineage: Eukaryota; Metazoa; Chordata; Aves; Passeriformes; Paridae. The record is from RNAcentral.
CUGAUAACAAAUGCAGCUCGCUCACUGGGCUCCACAUAACAUCCAUCUGGAAAAACACCAACAUGCACCACAUGGAAAAGAGGAGGAUCCUCAUCUGCUUGGACUGCAGUUAAGAGCUAGGGCUAGGACUUGGAGGAUGUGUAGGCAAACGGAAAGAGAGACGGGGGAAGAAAAACCGAAAUGGAUUCAUUCUCUGUCCUGGAUGGAGGAGGAGAGGAGAAGAGAAGGGGACGUGCGAGCUUCCUUCAACUGCCUCUGUCCGGUGAAAAGUGCUCAGACCCCCGGGGCUGCGCCGGGCUCCGGAGUCCGCGCGGACUUUCGCGUUCAGCUGCCAAUCAAACCUCUCACAGCCACCACCCUGCUCUGGCACCGACAUGGUAUGUGUGAUCUCCUCCCAUGA